Alligator mississippiensis (American alligator) is the source of this 855-nucleotide long non-coding RNA. RefSeq lists it as uncharacterized. Lineage: Eukaryota; Metazoa; Chordata; Crocodylia; Alligatoridae. The record is from RefSeq and is a predicted model, not a curated record. The transcript has 3 exons.
CAUGGUACUAUGCCCAGAAUCCUCAACAUUCACUUUCUCAGUUUCUGUCUUUCUUCUUGUUCUAGGUACUCAGCACAGAAACCCUGCACUCAAUGACCCAGAUUGCCAUUGGCUUCUGCAUGGCACACCCACCUCAUACCUUUUCUCAGAUAAAUCAGUCUUUGUUAUACAGUUCUUUGCCAUCUCUAGCUGAUAUAUCCAAGCACACCACCUCUGUGCAAUUACACAAGCCACUGCUCUUGCCACUUCUCUCUCCAGGGAACUAACUGCUUGUCCAUCCCUGUUUUAACUUCUGGAAUGAUAAACUGAUUGGUCUGGUGUGGCUUCUGGUUUGCUGCCCCUCCGACACCUCUAGCCAGUCCUCCUAAUUAUCAUCCAGGUCCUUCUGUCUGGCCCUCUGCUCAGUCUUGCUGCUCAGGUCUGCUGCCGAGCAUGCUGGGGAGACCGCUGUGCUUCUGUGGGACACUCCAUGCACCCCAGCAUCACUGCAAUCACAAGCCCCUGCUACCUAGAGGUUGUCUAACUGAUGAAGGAGGUACCCAAUGGAAGCUAAUUUGUUUCAGAACACCUCUACAUCAAUGGAAUUAAGGAUGCUGGUUUCAGUCCUGGUCACUCCCAGCAGCGUGUCUGCCGAUCAUUGGCUUUGUUGACUAUUGAGACUGUUGGUGGGCUUGUAAAAGGUCUGCCUCUUAACCCAGGCCAGCCACUCAAUGUUUAGUGGAACAAUGUAAUUAGCACACUGUGGGUAUUGCUGGAUAACACUGUGUGAUUUUAAAUUGAUGAUAACAAUCCACAAAGACUGAUUUGGCUAUACUUGUUAAUAAAGAUUUACUUAUGUCUUGUUUAAUAACAAAA